UCCAGGGGAUUGUCCCUUAAAGUUAUGGUU
This 30-nucleotide non-coding RNA is filed under the name Rattus norvegicus (Norway rat). Lineage: Eukaryota; Metazoa; Chordata; Mammalia; Rodentia; Muridae. The record is from RNAcentral.